UACGUAGGGGGCUAGCGUUGUCCGGAUUUCUUGGGCGUAAAGAGCGCGUAGGCGGCUAGGUAAGUCCGACGUGAAAUCUGGAGGCUCAACCUCCAGCGGUCGUUGGAAACUACUUGGCUAGAGUCCGGAAGAGGAGAGUGGAAUUCCUGGUGUAGCGGUGAAAUGCGCAGAUAUCAGGAAGAACACCGAUGGCGAAAGCAGCUCUCUGGGACGGUACUGACGCUGAGGCGCGAAAGCGUGGGGAGCGAACAGG
Molecule: ribosomal RNA, 253 nt
Filed under: uncultured bacterium
Lineage: Bacteria
Description: partial 16S ribosomal RNA
Rfam family: Bacterial small subunit ribosomal RNA
Source: RNAcentral